This 723-nucleotide ribosomal RNA is filed under the name Vibrio sp. 14B08. RNAcentral's name for it is "bacterial SSU rRNA". It matches the Rfam family "Bacterial small subunit ribosomal RNA", at positions 33 to 735 of the family's 1533-position model. Lineage: Bacteria; Pseudomonadati; Pseudomonadota; Gammaproteobacteria; Vibrionales; Vibrionaceae. The record is from RNAcentral.
ACGCUGGCGGCAGGCCUAACACAUGCAAGUCGAGCGGAAACGACACUAACAAUCCUUCGGAUGCGUUAAUGGGCGUCGAGCGGCGGACGGGUGAGUAAUGCCUAGGAAAUUGCCUUGAUGUGGGGGAUAACCAUUGGAAACGAUGGCUAAUACCGCAUAAUGCCUACGGGCCAAAGAGGGGGAUCUUCGGACCUCUCGCGUCAAGAUAUGCCUAGGUGGGAUUAGCUAGUUGGUGAGGUAAUGGCUCACCAAGGCGACGAUCCCUAGCUGGUCUGAGAGGAUGAUCAGCCACACUGGAACUGAGACACGGUCCAGACUCCUACGGGAGGCAGCAGUGGGGAAUAUUGCACAAUGGGCGAAAGCCUGAUGCAGCCAUGCCGCGUGUAUGAAGAAGGCCUUCGGGUUGUAAAGUACUUUCAGUUGUGAGGAAGGGKGURYMGUUAAUAGCKKYAYMUCUUGACGUUAGCAACAGAAGAAGCACCGGCUAACUCCGUGCCAGCAGCCGCGGUAAUACGGAGGGUGCGAGCGUUAAUCGGAAUUACUGGGCGUAAAGCGCAUGCAGGUGGUUCAUUAAGUCAGAUGUGAAAGCCCGGGGCUCAACCUCGGAACUGCAUUUGAAACUGGUGAACUAGAGUGCUGUAGAGGGGGGUAGAAUUUCAGGUGUAGCGGUGAAAUGCGUAGAGAUCUGAAGGAAUACCAGUGGCGAAGGCGGCCCCCUGGACA